This 6028-nucleotide long non-coding RNA is filed under the name Homo sapiens (human). RNAcentral describes it as "non-protein coding lnc-CAND2-2:6". The record is from RNAcentral. Lineage: Eukaryota; Metazoa; Chordata; Mammalia; Primates; Hominidae.
AUCCCUCACCUCCUCCUGCCAAGAUCACCCCAAGCAGAAACCAGUAGGCAUAAUAAUUAGGAUCAUAACAAACUCUACCUCACGGGGCUGACCCGAAGGGAUGAUGCAUAGCAGAACACAUGGCUCAGCUGGCCAGCCGGCAGGUCUUAGCAGGUCAUAGUGGCGGAAUGACCAGCCCACAAGUCUUAGCAGGUCGCAAUGGUGGAUGCAGGAUGUUUCUGCCUGACCAGCCUCCAUUCUCACUUCCGUUUCUGCCUGGAUAUGACAAAUGUCGACCUGGAGCUGUUGGGGCCAUCUGGGCAGAAAGGCUGUCCGGGAAUGAAGUCAAAGAGAUGGAAAAAGAGAAAAAGAGGCCGGCGUCUGGGGUCAUGGUUUGAGCCCCCGAAUCCAACUGUACCUGAAGCCCUGUCUGUUUCAGAAACAGAAGGCAAUAAAUUCAGCCUUUGCCUUAAGCCCGUCAAGCCAGUCUGGGGUGCCUCUUUUUUUUAAUCAACCAAACAAAUACUGGUUAAUAAAACUCCCUGCUCAAAAGCUCCUGGCGGCUCCUUCAUGCCUGCAGGGAGAGGCCAGCACCCUGGGCUCUGGGCCCCACUUGCCUUCCUUUUUGUCCUGAACUCUGGCCCUCAUCCCUCCCAGACAGGUAUCACCCAAGACUGCUGUUUCCCAAACACACCAUGAAGACUCGACCUACAGUUUCUACCCAAACUCUCCUCCACUCCCCACUUGAGCAGUGCCUGCUCACUAGAGCUUGCCUCCUCCUGGAAGCCUCCCCACACUUCCUCCACCACUCUGAGUGUCAGUGGCAUCUACCUCCAGCUUCCCAUCACUCUGCUUAUUUCCCCAGAGUGAAAUUCACUUUUUUUUUUCUUUUUCCUCUUCAAAAAAACUUUGUCUCACUGUAUCAUUUAAGAAAUGAACAUCCUGGAUUGACUUGGGAUUUGACAAAUUCAAACUUGGUUUUAACACACCAUGUGCAUUUCCUGAGCCCCAGGCGUACCAGCAGACACAGGGCUGAAAGACCCAGGGCCUACCCGCAGGGGCUUAGAGGCUGAACCAAACCGUUUCCCAUUUGGCUCAAGACAAUGGAUGCAAAAAUGACCAUUUUUAAAAUUUUAAAUUCAAAUUUAUUUUACUUGGGGAUAAUCAUCACUGACACUCACUGAGCCAUUGCUAGGUCAUUGUCUAUGGGCAGGUCCAUGCAUAAUGUUAUUUAAUCCUCACUCUGGGAAAUGUUAUCCUCACUUACAGAGGAGGUCACUGAAGCUCAGAGAAGUAAAGGGAGCUGCCCAGGGGGUUACAGCAACUGUAGGGAGCUGACCCUAUAUUCUAGCCCUUGUUAUCCUCCCUGGCCUUUCUCAACUGUGUGCGAAUACACUGGGGCCAGCUUCGAAGUCUUUUUAACAUUCACUGUGUAAACUCGGCACCAAGCUAGCUUCCCCUGGUUGCUCACAGGCAGGUGGCUGUCCACACCCACUUCUGUGUGGGGGCCUCUGGCGUCACAUUUCACACCCCUGUUCUGUAGGCAUCGGGUUUCAGAUUUGCUGUAUUUGCUUCCGCUGCCACUACCGGUAGAUCAGAAGCUGGGGAGGUGUUUCAACACAUGAUUGUUUUGAAUAUGGUGACUUCCCCAUCUAUCCCUGCCAUGGGUAACAUCCCAGCAGCCUCUUGAUAGCAGAACAGAGGCCAUUGAGCCUGGCCAAUGAGUGAGUCUCAAAUUCUAAGUUCGUGGGGGACUCACUUAAGAAGGGUGGUUUGUUCCAGCACCUGAUCAGAACCUGUGGCUCAUCCUCUGCAAAGUGGGCAUGAGGCACCACCAGAGGCUGCGGAGUGGCCAGAAUGAGGCAACAUAUGGAGGGGGUGUGGCACACGGUAGGUGUACACUAAGUGCUCAUUCCCUCUUUUCCUUACAGCCUUGCUGCUGGGGCUACCUUUCACCCACAUGCAGGCUUACUUGCCUGCACCCCCGGCAUGGCCCAAGAACCAGUUCUCUGAGUUCAGCCAGGACUUCCAAGAACCUAGCACAGCCAGGUCAGCUCCACUGUGUAUGAGUCCUGAACCCGACCCUAGGCCCCUGCUCCCUCAGUUGCCAUUUGCCAGGCUACCUCCUCCAUUGCUCCUAAAAUCUAGCUCAUCUGCCACCUCCUCCAGGAAGCCUUUGGGGAACUCCUCCAGAUAAAAACUCCAGUGUCCCUCCUCUGGGCUCCCACAGGCCUCAGAGCUCACCCCCUUCUCAGCCCUGAGUGCCAUGUGUAGUCAUUUCCUCUUUUCUAGUCCCUUCUCCCACAGAGCACUGUGAACAUCCCCAAGACAGAAACGAUGUGUUGCUCACCACAGCCUGGGCCCUACAGCUGGCCUGUCACAGGGCUGGUGACGACCGAAUGAAAGGAAAUGCCUAAUGUUUUCUGAGCACUUGCUACAUGCCGGGCACAGAGCCAGGGAUGCCCACAUGGAGAGGGCCUGCCUCACAGUGAAGACAGUAGGAAGGAAAGCAGAGGUAAGAGUUGAAAAGUCCAAAUCCAUAUAUGAACACUGCGAUUCCGCCAUUCCCGAAGCUAGUUACCCUCCAGACUUUUCAGUUCCAGGAGGCAAUGAAACCCCUUUUCUGCUUAUGCCCGUUAGGUUUGGAUUUUCUGUCACUUGCUACUAAGACAGCCCUCACUGACCAAGUGAAGCUCAGAGAUGGGACCCAACACACCCAAGGUCACAUAGCUACGAAAGCAGUGGAACAGAAACUCCCAUGAAAGUCUGGGCUUUUUUUUUUUUUUUUGAGACAGUCUUGCUCUGUGUCCAAGGCUGGAGUGCAGUGGCACGACCUAGGCUCACUGCAACCUCUGCCUCCCAGGUUCAAGCGAUUCUCCUGCCUCAGCCUCCCAAGUAGCUGGGAUUACCGGCAUGCGCCACCACGCCCGGCUAAUUUUUGUAUUUUUAGUAGAGAUGGGGUUUCACCAUAUUGGUCAGGCUGGUCUCGAUCUCCUGACCUCAAGUGAUCCGCCCGCCUUGGCCUCCCAAGGUCUGGGCUCUUAACCACAGCCUGACCACACCCCAGGCCCGGCUGAUAGCCACUUCAAUGCUCCCACACGCUGAGUACAGUCCAGAUACCCACUCUGCCGGCGGAGUCCCCUCACCUCUUUCCCAGAAGCCACUGGAGUUACACUGGUUGGGAUUUUUGGGCAUUGGUUUGCAAGUCCAUCAGAUGGGGCUAAUGAGCUCACCCUUGCAUGCAGGUCAGAGGACAGCUCACACUGGCCUAGCCCACAAGGGACUCAGGGAAUGAAGGCCACAGUGUGGACCCUCCAACCUGCCCUCAGCUGCCUGAUGGCCUACAGGUGUUUUCUAAUAGGUGACAUGUGUCCAUUAAAAUAAAAUACAACCAACCGCUUACCCCUCCUUGCGCCCAUCUCCUUCCUCUGCCCUACUCUCCUUCACAGAACAUGUCAUCCCCAUGACCUAUCAUGCAUGCAUUGCGUUAGUCAUAUAUUGCUUGACUCCCCAACACCAAGAAGGGAAGGGAUGGUUUAUCUGAUUUAUCACCUUUGUACUCUCAGAGACAAGACAGUACUUGGCACACAGUAGGUGCCCAAUAAAUGUUUGUUGAAUGACUGAAUUAACAAAUGAAUGAUGUGCAUGAAACUCUGCACAGAGUCAUGGAGUGCUUAAAGGCUCCUGGUUACACCUGGCCAUUUCACAGGUGAGGACAUGAGGCCUCAGGAUGGGCUCCCCUGAAGUCCCCAGGCAGGCAGCAGGGGCUCUGAUCUGCUCUGUGCCUCUGCUGGGCUGGACCGAAAUGGGCCUUGAACACAGGUGUGGGCAGCCACCUGGCCAGGCUCCCCAGCUUGAGCCCUGGCGCCCAACAAAGGCAGGUUGCUGCUGGAGGUAGCUGAGCUGGAGGCCAGAGCCCUGGGCUCUGAGCUGUAACCCCUGAACCUGACCUCUUGGGGUCCUUGGGCCAACAGCCCCUGGCUCACUGGGGUCAUCAAGCCUCCCCUAACCAGCCUGAGGGGCACUGUGCCCUGGUAAAUCUCUCAGUGAGAUGGGAACCCAGAGUCACCUACGCCCACAGGGAGAUUCCCCACAGAGGCCUGCUUCACCAUCUAAGCCUCACAACAACCCCGGAAGGGAGGACUUUCGCUAUGGGUUAUAUGGAAACCCAGGCCCAGAGAUGUUGGGACAUCUGUCCCAUGUCACAUGGCUGGGGCACACUGGGGAGCUGGGAUUUGAGACAGAGUGACUGACCCCUCAGGGCACUGAGCAGCCUUCUGUCUGCAGCGUGGGGGCAGGGGUGAAGGUGCCCAUUGCUUCCUUAUCACUGGGCCUCACUUUUUCCAUCUGCCACUGGUUGGGCUCCAGUCCUAAGGAAAGGGCUAUCUGUCUUGCCUGCCCCCAAGAGCCAGGGCUGGGGUGGGGGAGGCUUGGCUGGGAGUGAGAGCUCCCAGGCUGCUCCCUGAGGCUGGGUCGGUAAAAGCUUCCUCUGACCCAUCUGUUGAACUCCCUGAUGACCCCAGUGAGCCAGGGGCUGUUGGCCCAAGGACCCCAAGAGGUCAGGCUCAGGGGUUACAGCUCAGAACCCAGGGAACAUCCCCCAACACGCUCCCAGCCCCAGGGAUCUACAGAUCCUCAAGGUUCCACUCUGGAUCAUUUCAGAAAGAUACUGAACUUGUCAGUGGGUCAAGGGGCUCCUGGGGGGACACAUACUGGGCUACUGCCAGAUGGGAAAUGGCCCCAGCGAGCCUGGGGCAGGGAAGACUUCUGCAAGGCAGUGUCUCCUCAACACAGCCUGGGGAAGCCUUGUGUUCCCUCAGCCAUAAACCUCCAUUUGCUCAAAGUUUAUGCACCAUAGGGUUGAGGGGGGCAGCAGUGUGGGAAGGAAACACACCAAAUAUGCUCCAGGAGCCCUGGGCCACUGUGUGACUUCUGAGGGCCUCUGAGGACUUCUGACUUCUGUGUGACUUCUGAGGGCCUCAGUUUACUCGGCUGUAAACUGGGCAUUGUCAAGAGUCCAUCUUUCUCAGGGUGGUUGUGAGGGCCGUAGGCAGCGACCCAACACUCCCUGCCAUCCAGGUGGGCUGCGGGGCCCUGGUUCUCAACCCUAAUGGGGCCUGGGGCUGGUCUAACGCGCAGGGGAGCUAAAGAACUUCCCCUUGCGGCUGUGGGGAAACACCUGGUGUUCCUGGGCCCAGGGCGAGCCUGUGUGCAUUCCAGGCAGUGAGAAACGGGUCACAGAAUACAGCUCUGAGAAACAGUGAAAACUCUGACGACAGCCCCCAAGACCCUCACCACGGCAGGCUGCCCUGACAGUCGCCAGCCCCUCACAGGUUUCUCAGGGCUGCUGAGGUCCCCUCCCCGGGCCAGGUGGGUGGUACUCACAGUCUCAAAGUGGAGGGGGCGGAGGUGUCCCUGGAACCCCAGUGCCUGGCCUGCCUCUGCGGCCCCGGGGGAUGAGCUGUGGGUCCAUCCCCACAGCAGGUCCUGACGUCUGACUUCCUCCCUGCUCAGUCGGCAUCCAGGAAACCACACCCAGGGGAGAGGGUGCCAGGCACCCUGGGGCCCCCGCCCACCUGCCCUCCAAAAGGCCCCCAGGCACUGCUGAGGGGGCUCCUUCCAGGUCUGGCAAACCCAAAUGGCUUCACUGGGCAGGCCCCAGUCAAUAAAUAAUACACCCACCUCCCUGGACAGUCUCUGGUGCCUGAUCGUGUUUCAGGGCCACUUAAGUUCCAGGCAGACUGCUUUGUUCAGAGUGCCGGGCCCCUUCUGGGUCUCUGGCCACAUGGGCACUGCACUGUCACGGAGGGCCAGCUGGAGCCAGCAGCAUAAAGUAGUGUGACAGGGGUCCCUGGAGAGAGGGUGCCCUACUUACUUAGCAGCUUGGGCCCAAAGGGGACCCAGGGGUGGUGCCAGGGUAGGGUGGCCAGUCUCGUCUCCCCAUGGCCAGGCAGGGCCCCCCACAUCCCCCACAGGGGUGCCAUCUGGAGAGCCGCCACCAGCCCAUCCUGACAUUGCCAGUGUCCGGGCCCAGGCCCCUCCUCCAGGA